This 468-nucleotide ribosomal RNA is filed under the name uncultured bacterium. RNAcentral describes it as "partial 16S ribosomal RNA". It matches the Rfam family "Bacterial small subunit ribosomal RNA", at positions 28 to 507 of the family's 1533-position model. The record is from RNAcentral.
GACGAACGCUGGCGGCGUGCUUAACACAUGCAAGUCGAACGGAAAGGCCCUGCUUUUGUGGGGUGCUCGAGUGGCGAACGGGUGAGUAACACGUGAGUAACCUGCCCUUGACUUUGGGAUAACUUCAGGAAACUGGGGCUAAUACCGGAUAGGAGCUCCUGCUGCAUGGUGGGGGUUGGAAAGAUUCGGCGGUUGGGGAUGGACUCGCGGCUUAUCAGCUUGUUGGUGGGGUAGUGGCUUACCAAGGCUUUGACGGGUAGCCGGCCUGAGAGGGUGACCGGCCACAUUGGGACUGAGAUGCGGCCCAGACUCCUACGGGAGGCAGCAGUGGGGAAUAUUGCACAAUGGGCGGAAGCCUGAUGCAGCAACGCCGCGUGCGGGAUGACGGCCUUCGGGUUGUAAACCGCUUUCGCCUGUGACGAAGCGUGAGUGACGGUAAUGGGUAAAGAAGCACCGGCUAACUACGUG